This 119-nucleotide small RNA is filed under the name Arabidopsis thaliana (thale cress). RNAcentral's name for it is "ATSL085340". Lineage: Eukaryota; Viridiplantae; Streptophyta; Magnoliopsida; Brassicales; Brassicaceae. The record is from RNAcentral.
AUAAAUGUGUUAAUGAAAAGAUGCAAUAAAAAUAUACAACCUAAAUAAAAAAGAUAUGACUGUAGUUAACGAAUAUAACUGUAAAAAAAAGAAUAAUCGUAAAUAUUUUAAAGAAAAAU